CCUACGGGGGGCUGCAGUGGGGAAUAUUGGACAAUGGGCGAAAGCCUGAUCCAGCCAUGCCGCGUGUGUGAAGAAGGCCUUCGGGUUGUAAAGCACUUUCAGUGGGGAAGAAAGCCUUGGGGCUAAUACCCUCGAGGAAGGACAUCACCCACAGAAGAAGCACCGGCUAACUCCGUGCCAGCAGCCGCGGUAAUACGGAGGGUGCGAGCGUUAAUCGGAAUUACUGGGCGUAAAGCGCGCGUAGGCGGUCUGAUAAGCCGGUUGUGAAAGCCCCGGGCUCAACCUGGGAACGGCAUCCGGAACGGUAAGGCUAGAGUGCCGGAGAGGAAGGUAGAAUUCCCGGUGUAGCGGUGAAAUGCGUAGAGAUCGGGAGGAAUACCAGUGGCGAAGGCGGCCUUCUGGACUGACACUGACGCUGAGGUGCGAAAGCGUGGGUAGCAAACAGGAUUAGAUACCCGAGUAGUC
RNAcentral lists this ribosomal RNA (465 nucleotides) under Vreelandella stevensii. RNAcentral describes it as "partial 16S ribosomal RNA". It matches the Rfam family "Bacterial small subunit ribosomal RNA", at positions 338 to 795 of the family's 1533-position model. Lineage: Bacteria; Pseudomonadati; Pseudomonadota; Gammaproteobacteria; Oceanospirillales; Halomonadaceae. The record is from RNAcentral.